Molecule: long non-coding RNA, 887 nt
Organism: Globicephala melas (long-finned pilot whale)
Lineage: Eukaryota; Metazoa; Chordata; Mammalia; Artiodactyla; Delphinidae
Source: RefSeq, a predicted model, not a curated record
AUGAGCACAUUUAGCAGAAUGAUCAAUCCGCUGCUGCCAUAUCACUUCUAUUUAUAAUCUUGGCAGAGCUACAAAUUUCAAGGGUUUUCGGAGACAGAGGGAUUCUGCUACACGAAGUGAUUUUAGCUCUCCUCUUUUCAGAGUUCGGAUUCAGGGGGGUGGAAUCUUCCAGCUUCUGAAGGAAUUGACGUUCCUGCGGACCCCAACUAGCUUUCUGCUCCUGCUUACAGAUGAUGACUUGUAAUCCCGGCAAGGAGAAGGCUUGAAAGGAUCUUUUCUCUAAGGUAUACAGCUCCACCCAGGGGAGCAUGGAAUAUUUGCGGGGAAAGAGAUGCCAGUCAUAUGAAACUCAAGGUUGGAAACAACUACUCUGAUUUCCUGGUACAUCCUUUAAAAAAAGUCAAAGCUGAGUUCAUUGAGAAAGCAGCAAUUGCAAUUAAUGGAUGUCAGAAUGUCCCAGCACUUCCAGCUGAUGAAGAUUCACUCAUUGAAGACAAAAAGAAGCACACUCAAGAGUUUUCUUUAAAGAAAGAAGAUGGGUGAUACACUAAUGGCAAAGCAAGUCUGUCCGCAAAGAACGGAACUGAAUGAGACGUAGGCAUUUUCCAUGGAGUGUGACUCACCAGUGGUUCAGAGUGAAGGAAGAGUGUUGGAGAGAGAAUAAUAACCAUAAUUCAGACUGAGACCUUUAUGAAGGCAAGAACCCUAUUUUUUUCAUCUUUGAGUCUCCAAUAACUUAUAAAUAUUUGUUGCAUAAAUAUUUGUUGAAUGAUUAAAUGAGUUUUACUCUCCCAGGCUUUCCUGGGCAACACCAUUACUAAAUUCUGUGAAUAUUUAAGUGACUGUAUUAGAGGGGCUGUGCUGUAUUGUGUGUGGGUGUACUGACA